CCGUGGGUCUUUCCCGGGCAAUCGCCCCUGUCCUGGAGAGCGCAAGCUGCGAUGUGAGGAGACUACGGGUGUGCAACAAGCAGGUUUGUUUUGUUCCUUCUUUCGAUGCUCGCUUUUCGUUCUUCAUCUCUUCCCUUUAUCAUAUCUUGACUUUGAAUGUCUUAUUUUAUCUUUAGCCAAAUUACAAAAAAAAAAAAAAAAAAGCCACACUUCUAUACAACUUACCCCAACCUAAUUUUUACUCUCAUUUUUUUCCCUAAAACAAACUUUCUAUACAAAUACCCCUACAAAUACCCCCAAGGGAAAAAGUUCAUUUCUUUUAAACGAAAAUGCUUGUACACAAAAAUCAUUUUGGCCAGAUUUGACAUUGACUUUUGGAUCCCAAUAGUACAUAGUCAGAGCGCACCAUCACAUUGUCGGAAUGGACAAGUGCCGGACCGCCCUAAGACAACUACCGGACCGAAACUGAGUACUGUCGGACCGCCUUUUAUAUAGAGUUGGAGUCUUGGAAUCGAGUAACAUCUACUGCUGGACCACCCUUUGCAACUGCUGGACCACACUUUACACAGUGUCGGAGCCCUAUUACUGAACCACACUUUACAAAGUGUCGGAGCCUACUGCCUAACUACACUAUACACAGUGCUGGAACCCAUUGCCAGACCGUACUUACACAAUACUAGAGCCCCUAUUUUGGUGGGAUAGAUGAGACAGAGGUGUGGGUACGGUAAAAGUAAAAGAGGGUUGUUUAGUCAUUUUUUUACUUUUUAUUUGGUUGGGGGUUAGUUGCAUAGAAAGUGUAUUAUGGGGAAAAAAUAAAACAAAAUCUAAGUUGGGAGUAAAUUGUAUAGAAAAUGUAGUCUUGGGUCAAGAUGCUUACAAGCUCCAUUUGGAGAAGUUGCAAAUGCAGUUGGUUGAGCAGAACUGACAGGUCACGUUGUUGAGCUUGGCAUUGGAGAAGGCUAUCAACGAUCUUGCAUAGGCUACCAGAGGUCAGAGAAUCCCAUGGGUGAGACCACCUCACGUUCCUUCUCAUGUGGCUUCACAUGAUAGUGGAGCUGGCGUCGGGUUCAUCCGAGAGCAGGCAAGCAAGAGGCAUCCGGUGGCUUCAUGGUUGACUCGAGGGAUGAGGGUUGAGGCUACUUCUCCCCCCUUUUUGUGUUUUUG
Molecule: long non-coding RNA, 1164 nt
Filed under: Amborella trichopoda
Lineage: Eukaryota; Viridiplantae; Streptophyta; Magnoliopsida; Amborellales; Amborellaceae
Description: long non-coding RNA (ATRI_LNC000504)
Source: RNAcentral